Suricata suricatta (meerkat) is the source of this 576-nucleotide long non-coding RNA. RefSeq lists it as uncharacterized. The record is from RefSeq and is a predicted model, not a curated record. The transcript is spliced from 2 exons. Lineage: Eukaryota; Metazoa; Chordata; Mammalia; Carnivora; Herpestidae.
CCCAGACACACCCCGACCCCGCGAAGGGAUCUGGGCUGUCAAAACACGCAGCGGCGUGCUGAGUCCCAGUAACUCGCAUGACGAUUAAUGAGCGGCUUGAUAAUUUAAUAUCGCGUGUGAUUAAAUUAUAAGGCGUGGGGGAGGGGAGCUCUGAGCUCCCUCGUCCGCCAGGGCCGACGCCACCAAGCCUGGCGGUCUCCGCUGAGUGCGAACCUCGCUCUCCCUUCGCUCAGUGCCUGGCAGGCUCGGCAAGCAGCGGGUCCGCGCCUUCCCAAGGCACAUGAAUGCCCAGCUGGACUACAUUUCCCAGCCUCCCUUGCAGUUGUGUAAACCUUCAUGACUAAGUUUUCACCAGUGGAAUGCAAGCAGAAGUGACGGGAGUAAUUGUCAUCUCAUACUUGCACCUUCCUGUUCCUUUUUGCUGUCUGAGAAUGAUGCUAAUGGAAGCCAUGGAUGGAGGAUAACAAAACUUGCCCAAUGGCCUGGGUUCACAAAAUGAUUCCCUAGAGCAGAGUCUUGUACUUUCACCCUGAACUGUUAUAUGGAGAGAAAUAAAUGCCUAUUUUGUUUGAAAAA